UGGCUCAGACGGUAAAGUGUCUGCCUGCAAUGCGGGAGACCCGGGUUCGAUUCCUGG
Molecule: transfer RNA, 57 nt
Filed under: Bos indicus (zebu cattle)
Lineage: Eukaryota; Metazoa; Chordata; Mammalia; Artiodactyla; Bovidae
Rfam family: tRNA
About the family: Transfer RNA (tRNA) molecules are approximately 80 nucleotides in length. Their secondary structure includes four short double-helical elements and three loops (D, anti-codon, and T loops).
Source: Rfam by way of RNAcentral